RNAcentral lists this ribosomal RNA (406 nucleotides) under uncultured bacterium. RNAcentral describes it as "partial 16S ribosomal RNA". It matches the Rfam family "Bacterial small subunit ribosomal RNA", at positions 30 to 526 of the family's 1533-position model. The record is from RNAcentral.
AUUGAACGCUGGCUCCAGGCCUAUCACAUGCACGUCGAAUGAGUGGUGGACGGGUGAGUAACAUCUGGGAAACUGCCUGAUGGAGGGGGAUAACUACCGGAAACGGUAGCUAAUACCGCAUACCAUCAGCUGUGCCCCGAUGGGAUUUGCUUGUUGGUGAGGUAACGGCUCACCAAGGCGCAGAUCCCUAUCUGGUAUGCGUGGAUGACCAGCCAAACUGGAACGGAGACACGGUCCAGACUCCUAUGGGAGGCAGCAGUGGGUAGUAAUGCACAAUGGGCGCAAGCCGGAUGCAGCCAGGCAGCGUGUAUGAAGAAGGCCUUCGGGUUGUAAAGUACUUGCAGCGGGGAGGCGUUACCCGCAGAAGAAGCACCGACAAACUCCGUGCCAGCAGCAGCGGGAAUGC